Molecule: unclassified non-coding RNA, 356 nt
Filed under: uncultured fungus
Lineage: Eukaryota; Fungi
Description: partial contains small subunit ribosomal RNA, internal transcribed spacer 1, and 5.8S ribosomal RNA
Rfam family: Eukaryotic small subunit ribosomal RNA (bases 1-73)
Source: RNAcentral
UCAAACUUGGUCAUUUAGAGGAAGUAAAAGUCGUAACAAGGUUUCCGUAGGUGAACCUGCGGAAGGAUCAUUAUUGAAUAAGAAUGGUAGGCUGUAGCUGGCUUUUCGAAGCAUGUGCACGUCUGCUGUCUUAAUCUAUCCCCCUGUGCAUCUCUUGUAGUCUUGUGGGCAGAGUGACCAUGGAACCUCUUCCCAGAGGUCUCUGUGGACAAUAGCUAUGCUUGCAGGUCUAUGUCUUUUCAUAUACAUUGUAGUAUGUUACAGAAUGUGAUGGAUAUGGGCCUCUGUGCCUAUAGAAACUCUAUACAACUUUCAGCAACGGAUCUCUUGGCUCUCGCAUCGAUGAAGAACGCAGC